This 253-nucleotide ribosomal RNA is filed under the name uncultured bacterium. Its description in RNAcentral is "partial 16S ribosomal RNA". It matches the Rfam family "Bacterial small subunit ribosomal RNA", at positions 524 to 776 of the family's 1533-position model. The record is from RNAcentral.
UACGGGGGGAGCAAGCGUUGUUCGGAUUUACUGGGCGUAAAGGGCGCGUAGGCGGCGCAACAAGUCACUUGUGAAAUCUCCGGGCUUAACCCGGAGCGGCCAAGUGAUACUGUCGUGCUAGAGUGCGGAAGGGGCUACUGGAAUUCUCGGUGUAGCGGUGAAAUGCGUAGAUAUCGAGAGGAACACCUGCGGCGAAGGCGGGUAGCUGGGCCGACACUGACGCUGGGGCACGAAAGCCAGGGGAGCGAACGGG